GUGGGGAAUCUUGCACAAUGGGGGCAACCCUGAUGCAGCGACGCCGCGUGAGCGAUGAAGUCCUUCGGGGCGUAAAGCUCUUUCGGCAGGAACGAUUAUGACGGUACCUGAAGAAGAAGCUGCGGCUAACUACGUGCCAGCAGCCGCGGUAAUACGUAGGCAGCAAGCGUUGUUCGGAGUUACUGGGCGUAAAGAGUGUGUAGGCGGUCCCUUAAGUUCGGUGUGAAAUCUCCCGGCUCAACUGGGAGGGUGCGCCGGAAACUGGGGGGCUGGAGUGCGGGAGAGGAAAGCGGAAUUCCUGGUGUAGCGGUGAAAUGCGUAGAUAUCAGGAGGAACACCUGCGGUGUAGACGGCUUUCUGGACCGCAACUGACGCUGAGACACGAAAGCGUGGGGAGCAAACAGGAUUAGAAACCCGUGUAGUCC
This 425-nucleotide ribosomal RNA is filed under the name uncultured bacterium. Its description in RNAcentral is "bacterial SSU rRNA". It matches the Rfam family "Bacterial small subunit ribosomal RNA", at positions 354 to 796 of the family's 1533-position model. The record is from RNAcentral.